AGCGAACGCUGGCGGCAGGCCUAACACAUGCAAGUCGAACGAACUCUUCGGAGUUAGUGGCGGACGGGUGAGUAACACGUGGGAACGUGCCCUUUGGUUCGGAAUAACUCAGGGAAACUUGUGCUAAUACCGAAUGUGCUCUUCGGGGGAAAGAUUUAUCGCCAUUAGAUCGGCCCGCGUCUGAUUAGCUAGUUGGUGAGGUAACGGCCCACCAAGGCGACGAUCAGUAGCUGGUCUGAGAGGAUGACCAGCCACACUGGGACUGAGACACGGCCCAGACUCCUACGGGAGGCAGCAGUGGGGAAUCUUGCGCAAUGGGCGAAAGCCUGACGCAGCCAUGCCGCGUGAAUGAUGAAGGUCUUAGGAUUGUAAAAUUCCUUCACCGGGGACGAUAAUGACGGUACCCGGAGAAGAAGCCCCGGCUAACUUCGUG
RNAcentral lists this ribosomal RNA (433 nucleotides) under uncultured bacterium. Its description in RNAcentral is "partial 16S ribosomal RNA". It matches the Rfam family "Bacterial small subunit ribosomal RNA", at positions 29 to 507 of the family's 1533-position model. The record is from RNAcentral.